Molecule: long non-coding RNA, 2820 nt
Organism: Cavia porcellus (domestic guinea pig)
Lineage: Eukaryota; Metazoa; Chordata; Mammalia; Rodentia; Caviidae
Exons: 2
Source: RefSeq, a predicted model, not a curated record
AGAUUCAAAGCAUUCUUCUAACUCAGUAGUUUCCUCUUUUAGACCUCCAGAGCCUUUGGCAAAUCGCCCAAGGUAUCCAAACUCAGGGAGUUCCUCUGUGGAAUGGAAGUCAGUACGACACCCUCUGAGGCUACUGUAACGAUGAAAUGAGAAGACCCGCGUGGGGAUCAGGACAUGUUCGCCCUCGUCAUGGUUUGGCCCAGUUGUUCAGCACAUUGGUUCCAGUGCCAGCCUUGGAUCCGGCCUUGACAUCUAUCAGAAAGUUCUUUAACUCCUCUGAUCCUGUAUUUCCUCGACUGUCACCAGGAGGAAAGAUUACCAACUCUCUAUGGUUCUCGAGAUUGGUAAAUGAGGUUAGCUUUUCCACACUGCCAGACACACAGUGACUACACAUGAUGAACUAUUUUCACUAUUCUGUAAGUAGAACUUUAUGGACUAGGCACUUCUCCUGCCCUUCCUCCAUUCUCUACCCCAGUUCUUGACAUUCUGAGACUGUAUUGCCCGAUUCUCUUUGUUUAAAUGUAAGCUGCUAGAAAAGCCUCAAUUCACUGAAACGAUUCUCUUGCUCCUGGGGGAUACAAGCAGAGGUGUGACAGUGGCAGAAACAGAAACCUUACCUGUGCAAAGCUUUGCUAGCUCCUGUCUGCUCUCCACUCCUCUCCCUGCUUGGUCCUGUGGGCUUAGAGAUGGGUUCAGACCCUGUUGAGGUGCCAGGCCGUGGUUUAAUCUACAUUCUGGAGGAAGAACCUGAGGCUCAGGAAAGACCUCAGACUAACUUCCAGGUCCAUUUGCCAAACAGCCAGAUCUUUGUUGAAUUCUAAGGUCCAGAGAGACCCACAUCUCAUAUACACACACAUGUACACACACAUACAAAUGCAAAAUUUUACAGUAGAAAUCUAAAUCUUUUAGCCAGGUGUGGUGGCACAUGCUUGUAAUUCCAGCACUCAGGAGGCUGAGGCAAGAGGAUUGUUGUGGGUUCGAGACCAGCCUGGGCUACAAAGUGAGCUCAAGGCCAGCCUGAACUGCAUAAUGAGAACAUCUCUCAAAAAGGAAAAAAAGAAAGAAAAAAAGAAAACUAAAUCUUUGUGUCAAUUCAAAUCAACACAACGCAAUUCCAGUGAGAUAGAUGCAUUUUGAGAUCCUUUGCCAAUUCAAAGACAAAAGACUAUUUCACUGAAGAGAUUUAGGGAUUUAGCCAACGGAUGGGGGGGGUCUUUUAUUUAUUUGUUUAUUUGUUUACAGCACUGGGAAUUGAAUCCAGGAUCUUCCCAUUGAACUAUCUGACCAGCCCUUUUUUUUUUUUUUUUUUUUUUUUUUUUUUUUGAGACAGGGUCUCACAAUGUAGUUUAGGCAGGUCUCUAUCUCACUAUGUAGCCCAGGUUGGCCUCCAAUGCACAUCAAUUCUGCUGCCUCAGCCUCCCAGAGUGCUGGGAUUAGAGGUGUGUACCACCAUACACAACUAGGUUAGGAGGCAUUUUAGAAAUUCUACUCCUAUAAUAACAUAAUUUCCAUGUUAAUGAUUGUUUUGCUAAUAGAGUAAUAACAAUGACUACGACAACUACAGAACUGUGAUGUAGAGAUAUGGUGUCAUGUCUGUUAUGUAAAUAUUUCAUUCACUCUUAACUGAAACCCGGACAGUAUUUUUAUUAUCAGUUUAUGAAGGAAAAAAAUUAAGAGCCCAGGACUCAGAAAGAAUUUUCUCAGGAUUGCACAAGUAUUCAUUGCUGUACGUUGGACUUGACAGUGAGCUGGUGUGUCCUUGGGUACGGAGUGUGGCCUCCCUGUGACACUGGAAAAGCUAUGUGCUGGAGAGACCCUUGUGAGCAGGGCUGGACAUCUGCCUUAUUUUUCUUUAUGCAUAUUUCCCCGCCCUUCUUGCAUGGAUGCCUGAAAACACAAGCUUCGAUGACUAUAGAGACCUUGACUAAAUCCUAUGGUGAUGCGGCCGUGGGAAGAGUGUUCCUGGCACCCAGGGCAAGGUUGCUGAGCAGCGUGGUCAUCAGCGUCUCAGCUUCCUUGGAUCCCAAGAGCACAUGUGUGUCCUCCAUUUGGGGCGCUUUCUCCCUGGGCUCCGCUUGCUGCAGCCUUAUCUGGUUGUCAUGACCAUACUGUCAGCAGGGAAGACUGACGUGGCACAGAGACAAUGGGUAUGGAUGGUGCCCGUCCCAGGAUUCAGGAAACGUGGUUCUUCUGCCUGCUCGCAUCCGACCCUAACCAUGUUCAGUGUACUCUUUUCCUUUGCUUUCAUGGCAUAUUCCAAAUGGCUUACAAAGCCGUGCAGUUUGUGCAUAGUCAAGAUAAGUUCUUGCUCAAUGUCCUUAUCGCAUCAUUUGUGUUAGGAUAUUUCCCUAGUCCGUUUUUCCACGUAUAUGCGUCUGUUUCCUUGGAUAAGACAACAACAGCAAAUGCUUUUGCUCCAUCCCAGGACCUAGGAAAGAGCUGCGCCAAGAGAGUUUGGAAUGGAGGCAAAACCCAUUUUGGAGAGCCCAGUGUGUGUUGAAAAAGAAAGUAACCAAAUAGAUGUGUUGUGUCCAUAUCCUGAAUAUGGUCCCAGGCCUUUUGCCAGGUAGUCAGUGAACGGUUUUGUAUGAAUUUGAUUUCUUUCCAUUAGGAAAAUUACUGAAUUUCUGAAUUAAUAGAGUAGCACGGGAGGAGUAAGGUCUCUCAGUCAACCGUGCAGAGCCAAUGAUGGUUUGUAAAAUGGGUCCAUAAAUAACAAAUGACUUUAAGAACUCUGGGUGACCUAGUAGCUCAUGGUGAGUGACCUCCUCGAUGUAUUAUUCAUGUCUUUCCUAAUAUAACAACUUCCCCCACUCUGGC